This is an RNA transcript of Rhododendron vialii, 1867 nucleotides long. It is a transcript of the gene named folylpolyglutamate synthase-like, with no coding region annotated. The transcript is spliced from 16 exons. The record is from RefSeq and is a predicted model, not a curated record. NCBI's taxonomy places the organism in Eukaryota, Viridiplantae, Streptophyta, Magnoliopsida, Ericales, Ericaceae.
AGAGUUUCCUUCUUUCUUCCAACUGAAUUUGGUUUCCCAUACUUUUCGUUCCUCACCUGCUCCUCGUUCUCUUCUCUCUCUCUCUCUCUCUGCGGAUACAUACACCUACGCCGGUAACGCCAAACCAUCUAUCGAUCGAUCUUCUUUCACAUGGCUGAAGGGGAUAAUGAAUCGCCCAGACCUCGGGCUUCUCCCUAUGACGAGGCAGUGGAUGCUUUGUCAUCUCUGAUAACGAAACGCAGCCGUGCGGAUAAGAGCAACAAAGGCGAUCGAUUCGACAUUCUGUACGAUUAUAUCAAGAUGCUGGAUUUGGAGGAGCCGAUUUCGAAGAUGAAGGUUAUUCAUGUUGCUGGAACCAAAGGAAAGGGAUCAACCUGCACGUUUGCAGAAUCUAUAUUACGUAAUUGUGGCUUCCACACUGGACUUUUCACAUCUCCUCACCUCGUUGAUGUCCGAGAACGAUUUCGACUGGAUGGCAUGGACAUAUGCCAAGAGAAGUUUCUCGCAUAUUUCUGGUGGUGUUGGAAUACACUAAAGGAAAAAACCAGUGAUGAUAUACCUAUGCCUGCUUACUUUCGCUUCCUUGCAUUACUUGCCUUCAAAAUAUUUGCUGCAGAACAGGUAGAUGUUGUUAUCUUGGAGGUUGGGUUAGGUGGAAAGUUUGAUCCGACAAAUGUGGUACAGACACCAGUUGUAUGUGGUAUAUCGUCCCUUGGGUAUGAUCACAUGGAAAUUCUUGGAAAUACUCUUGGAGAAAUUGCAGGGGAGAAGGCUGGUAUCUUUAAGCAAGGAGUUCCUGCCUUUACUGUGCCCCAACCUGAUGAAGCAAUGUGUGUACUUGAAGAGAAGGCUUCCCAGUUGGAUGUAAAACUACAAGUAGCACCCGUGUUGGAUGCGACUCUGUUGAAUGGUCUACAUCUUGGGCUGGAUGGUGAGCACCAAUAUCUAAAUGCUGGUCUUGCCAUUGCUUUAUGUUCUACUUGGCUCCAAAGGACCGGUCACAAUGAAAUCAACUACCUGGAUCAAACUAAUUCUCUGCCUGAACAAUUCCUUAAAGGGCUUACAACAGCUACUUUACAAGGACGGGCUCAGAUUGUCCCUGAUCGGUUGAUUGGUGCUGAAAGCCCAGGAGAUCUGUUGUAUUAUUUGGAUGGAGCCCAUAGUCCUGAAAGCAUGGAAGUAUGUGGAAAAUGGUUUAGUCAUGCCAUCACUGGAGAAAGCAGACAACAAAAUGCAAGCAAUCAACGACAAGAAAACUCCACUCAGAUAUUGCUGUUCAAUUGUAUGUCAGUGAGGGACCCACAGUUGCUUCUUCCGUGCCUGAUUAAUACAUGUGCUAAUCAUGGAGUACACUUCCAGAAGGCGCUUUUUGUACCGAACAUAUCUGUAUAUUACAAAGUGUUGUCCAGUGCCUUACCACCAACCGAUUCCCAGGUUGAUCUGUCAUGGCAACUGACUCUUCAAAAUGUAUGGAAGAACCUCAUUGGCAUUGAAAAAGGAAGGGAUGCCAGAGAUAGAGACCUUGUCUAUGAAGAAAAUGACAAAAGCAAGGAGAGUGGAGUUAGGAGUUGUGAGAGCAGCAUGGUUUUUCCCUCGCUUCCCACUGCUAUCAAAUGGUUGCGGGACUCUGUGCAGCAGAAUAAGUCUGUUCGUUUUCAGGUGCUCGUAACUGGUUCGUUACAUCUUGUGGGUGAUGUAUUAAGAUUAGUCAAGAAGUGAGACAUGAGAGUUGAGUUUGUAUCGCUGCUUCGGAAUGUCGUUCAAACUGCAACCUUUGUGUUAGGGAAGGCGAUGAUUGUUACAUUUUAUUUUAUGGGAAAUGAUUUGAGAUGAAUGGAGGACAACAAAUACAAUCUAGUCAAAAUAA